RNAcentral lists this ribosomal RNA (617 nucleotides) under uncultured crenarchaeote. RNAcentral describes it as "bacterial SSU rRNA". It matches the Rfam family "Archaeal small subunit ribosomal RNA", at positions 75 to 693 of the family's 1478-position model. The record is from RNAcentral. Lineage: Archaea; Thermoproteati; Thermoproteota.
UACAAGGCAUACGGCUCAGUAACGCGUAGUCAACCUAACCUAUGGACGGGAAUAACCUCGGGAAACUGAGAAUAAUGCCCGAUAGAACAUUAUGCCUGGAAUGGUUUAUGUUCCAAAUGAUUUAUCGCCGUAGGAUGGGACUGCGGCCUAUCAGUUUGUUGGUGAGGUAAUGGCCCACCAAGACUAUUACAGGUACGGGCUCUGAGAGGAGUAGCCCGGAGAUGGGUACUGAGACACGGACCCAGGCCCUAUGGGGCGCAGCAGGCGAGAAAACUUUGCAAUGUGCGAAAGCACGACAAGGUUAAUCCGAGUGGUUUCUGCUAAAGAAACCUUUUGUCAGUCCUAGAAACACUGAUGAAUAAGGGGUGGGCAAGUUCUGGUGUCAGCCGCCGCGGUAAAACCAGCACCUCAAGUGGUCAGGAUGAUUAUUGGGCCUAAAGCAUCCGUAGCCGGCUCUGUAAGUUUUCGGUUAAAUCUGUACGCUCAACGUACAGGCUGCCGGGAAUACUGCAGAGCUAGGGAGUGGGAGAGGUAGACGGUACUCGGUAGGAAGGGGUAAAAUCCUUUGAUCUAUUGAUGACCCCCUGUGGCGAAGGCGGUCUACCAAAACACCUCCG